RNAcentral lists this ribosomal RNA (234 nucleotides) under uncultured bacterium. Its description in RNAcentral is "partial 16S ribosomal RNA". It matches the Rfam family "Bacterial small subunit ribosomal RNA", at positions 99 to 334 of the family's 1533-position model. The record is from RNAcentral.
CGAACGGGUGAGUAACACGUGAAGAACCUGUCCCGAAGACGAGGAUAAGCCGGGGAAACCUGGUCUAAUACUCGAUACCUCCAUUUGAUCGCAUGGUCGGAUGAAGAAACGAAUUUUGCUUCGGGAGGGCUUCGCGGCCUAUCAGCUUGUUGGUGGGGUAACGGCCCACCAAGGCGUCGACGGGUAGCUGGUCUGAGAGGACGAGCAGCCACACUGGGAUUGAGAACGGCCCAG